This 405-nucleotide ribosomal RNA is filed under the name uncultured bacterium. RNAcentral describes it as "partial 16S ribosomal RNA". It matches the Rfam family "Bacterial small subunit ribosomal RNA", at positions 29 to 506 of the family's 1533-position model. The record is from RNAcentral.
ACGAAUGCUAGCGGCGUGCUUAAGGUAUGCAAGUCGAACGGAUCCACUUCGGUGGAUGAGUGGCGAACGGCUGAGUAAUACGCAGGAACCUACCCCAAUCUCGGGGAUAACUUACCGAAAGGUGAGCUAAUACCCGAUGUGGAGGAAACUCUAAAGAUUUUUCGGAUUGGGAUGGGCCUGCGGCCUAUCAGCUAGUUGGUGAGGUAAAGGCUCACCAAGGCUAUGACGGGUAUCGGGACUGAGAGGUUGUACCGGCAGAGGGGCACUGAGACACGGGCCUCACUCCUACGGGAGGCAGCAAUCGGGAAUCUUGCGCAAUGGGCGAAAGCCUGACGCAGCGACGCCGCGUGAAGGAUGAAGGCCUUCGGGUUGUAAACUUCUGAAAAUAGCACCGGCUAACUACGU